Molecule: ribosomal RNA, 292 nt
Filed under: uncultured bacterium
Lineage: Bacteria
Description: partial 16S ribosomal RNA
Rfam family: Bacterial small subunit ribosomal RNA
Source: RNAcentral
AACGAACGCUGGCGGCGCGCCUAACACAUGCAAGUCGAACGAGAAGCUGUAGCAAUACAGUUGUACAGUGGCGAACGGGUGAGGAAUACAUGGGUGACCUACCUUCGAGUGGGAAUAACCAGCCGAAAGGUUGGCUAAUACCGCGUACGUUUCCCAGUCCGCGGAUUGGGAAGGAGAGCGAUGCCGUGGGUAUCGCGCUCAAGGUUGGGCUCAUGUCCUAUCAGCUUGNGGUGAGGUAACGGCUCACCAAGGCAACGACGGGUAGCUGGUCUGAGAGGACGAUCAGCCACAC